This 1995-nucleotide ribosomal RNA is filed under the name human metagenome. Its description in RNAcentral is "bacterial LSU rRNA". It matches the Rfam family "Bacterial large subunit ribosomal RNA", at positions 1 to 1977 of the family's 2925-position model. The record is from RNAcentral.
AGAAGAUGGUAAGGGCAAACGGUGGAUGCCUUGGCACAAGAAGCCGAUGAAGGACGUGAUAAGCUGCGAUAAGCCACGGUAAGGAGCACAUAUCCUGUGACCCGUGGAUUUCCGAAUGGGUAAACCCACCAAGAGUCAUUUCUUGGUACUUCCUGCUGAAUAUAUAGGCAGGAUAGAGGUAACCGGGGGAACUGAAACAUCUAAGUACCCCGAGGAAGAGAAAUCAAACGAGAUUCCCCUAGUAGUGGCGAGCGAACGGGGAUAUAGGACAAACCGUCAGUUGCGCAAGCGCUGGCGGGGUUGUAGGACCAUUCAUUGUGGAGUUACAAAACUUCGUGGAAGCAGAAUAGCUUGGAAAAGCUGGCGAGACAGGGUAAAAGCCCCGUACGCGAAUCUGCGAAGACUCCCGAGUGGCACCUGAGUACUGCCGGACACGUGAAACCCGGUGGGAACCUGGGGGGUCCACCCUCCAAUCCUAAAUACUCUCUUGUGACCGAUAGUGAACCAGUACCGUGAGGGAAAGGUGAAAAGCACCCCUAGCGGGGAGUGAAAUAGUACCUGAAACCGUUUGCCUACAAGCAGUCGGAGCAGACUUUUGUCUGUGACGGCGUGCCUUUUGUAGAAUGAGCCAGCGAGUUACGGCAUGUGGCAAGGUUAAGCUAAAAAGCGAGCCGCAGCGAAAGCGAGUCUGAAUAGGGCGAGUGAGUCGCAUACCGUAGACGCGAAGCCAGGUGAGCUAUCCAUGAGCAGGCUGAAGCGGGGGUAAGACCCCGUGGAGGGCCGAACCCACUUAGGUUGAAAACUGAGGGGAUGACUUGUGGAUAGGAGUGAAAGGCCUAUCAAACCUGGAGAUAUCUCGUUCUCUCCGAAAUAGCUUUAGGGCUAGCCUCGGAUGUUUACCAAUGGGGGUAGAGCACUGAAUAGUUGCGGGGGCUUCACCGCCUACCAAGAUUAAUCAAACUCCGAAUACCAUUGGUCUAGAAUCCGGGAGUCAGAAUAUGUGGGCUAAGCUGUGUAUUCGAAAGGGAAACAGCCCAGACCGCCCGCUAAGGUCCCAAAAUCAAUGCUAAGUGGCAAAGGAUGUGCGUUUGCUCAGACAACCAGGAUGUUGGCUUAGAAGCAGCCAUUCAUUUAAAGAGUGCGUAAUAGCUCACUGGUCGAGUGGACAUGCGCCGACAAUAUACGGGGCUAAGCAUUGUACCGAAGCGGCGGAUCAGUACUUUGUACUGGUGGUAGGAGAGCUUUCUGUACGGGUUGAAGCAGUUGGAUAACCAACUGUGGACUGUCCAGAAGUGAGAAUGCUGGCAUGAGUAACGAGAGACAUGUAAAAAACAUGUCCGCCGUAAACCCAAGGUUUCCUGGGCAAGGCUAAUCCUCCCAGGGUUAGGCGGGAGCUAAGGCAAGGCCGGAAGGCGUAGUCGAUGCACAACAGGUAGAAAUUCCUGUCCCUCCAAAAGAGCGUUAUCACCAAUGGGGUGACGGAGAAGGGUAGCUAGGCGGGGUUCUGGACGUCCCCGUGAUGGCACGUAGGCUGAGAAGUAGUGAAAUGCGCUUCUCGUGUGGCUGAGGUGUCGGACGAAGCAAUUGAGUGAAGCUAGUAAGCCCAUACUUCCAAGAAAAACCUCUAGGGAGCUCUGAGGAGCCCGUACCGCAAACCGACACAGGUGGGUGGGUAGAGCAUACCAAGGCGAUCGGGAGAACUAUGGUUAAGGAACUCGGCAAAAUUGCCCCGUAACUUCGGGAGAAGGGGUGCCGGUUUCGGUGAAGGGAUUUACUCCCCGAGCUAAGAUCGGUCACAGUAAAUAGGUCCAAGCGACUGUUUAUCAAAAACACAGGACUCUGCUGAAGUCGUAAGACGACGUAUAGGGUCUGACGCCUGCCCGGUGCCGGAAGGUCACGAGGAGUUGUUAGCAUUAGCGAAGCAGCGAAUCUAAGCCCCGGUAAACGGCGGCCGUAACUAUAACGGUCCUAAGGUAGCGAAAUUCCUUGUCGGGU